RNAcentral lists this ribosomal RNA (200 nucleotides) under uncultured bacterium. Its description in RNAcentral is "partial 16S ribosomal RNA". It matches the Rfam family "Bacterial small subunit ribosomal RNA", at positions 8 to 223 of the family's 1533-position model. The record is from RNAcentral.
AGAGUUUGAUCCUGGCUCAGAAUCAACGCUGGCGCGCGCCUAACACAUGCAAGUCGAACGAGAAAGGGGAGCAAUCCCUGAGUACAGUGGCGUACGGGUGAGUAACACGUGGAUAAUCUACCUUCUGGUGAGGAAUACCCCUGGGAAACCGGGAAUAAUACCGCAUAAGCUCGAGAGAGGAAAGCAGCAAUGCGCCGGAA